CGAACGCUGGCGGCAUGGCUAAAACAUGCAAGUCGAACGAGAAUCCCCUUCGGGGGAGGACAGUGGCGAAAGGGCGAGUAAUACGUUUCUACGUACCCUGAGGUCGGGGAUAGCCCGGGGAAACUCGGAUUAAUACCCGAUGAUAUCGCAAGAUCAAAGUCGCAAGACGCCUUUGGAGCGGGGAACGUCCUAUCAGGUAGUUGGUGAGGUAACGGCUCACCAAGCCGAAGACGGGUAGCGGGUGUGAGAGCACGGCCCGCCGCAUCGGGACCGAGACACUGCCCGGACUCCUACGGGAGGCUGCAGUAACGAAUCUUCCGCGAUGCACGAAAGUGUGACGGAGCAAUGCCGCGUGCAGGAUGAAGCCCUUCGGGGUGUAAACUGCUGUCAGGGGUCACCAACACAAUGAGGAGCCCCAAAGGAAGGGCCGGCUAACUCUGUGCCAGCAGCCGCGGUAAAACAGAGGGCCCGAGCGUUGCGCGGAAUCACUGGGCUUAAAGCGUGCGUAGGCGGAUCGUUAAGUGUUUUGUGAAAUCCCACGGCUCAACCGUGGAAUUGCAGGGCAAACUGGCGAUCUUGAGGUCGGUAGGGGUCGUUGGAACGCUAGGUGGAGCGGUGAAAUGCGUAGAUAUCUAGCGGAACGCCGAAGGUGAAGACAAGCGACUGGGCCGAUUCUGACGCUGAGGCACGAAAGCGUGGGGAGCGAACGGGAUUAGAUACCCCGGUAGUCCACGCCCUAAACGAUGUGCACUAGGUCGUGGGAGUUCUGACACUCUCUCGAUCGAAGCGAAAGUAAUUAGUGCACCGCCUGGGGAGUACGGUCGCAAGGCUAAAACUCAAAGGAAUUGACGGGGGCUCACACAAGCGGUGGAGCAUGUGGCUUAAUUCGAAGCAACGCGAAGAACCUUAUCCUGGGUUUGACAUGCACGGAUUAGUCCUGUGAAAGCAGGGCAACGCCUUCGGGUGGAACGUGCACAGGUGCUGCAUGGCUGUCGUCAGCUCGUGCUAUGAAGUGUCGGGUUAAGUCCCUUAACGAGCGCAACCCCUGUCGUCAGUUGCUAACGCGUCAUGGCGAGGACUCUGGCGAGACUGCCGGUGUCAAACCGGAGGAAGGUGGGGAUGACGUCAAGUCCGCAUGGCCUUUAUGCCCAGGGCUGCACACGUGCUACAAUGGCGCGCACAGAACGAAGCAAUAGCGCAAGCUGGAGCAAAUCGCUCAAAACGCGCCCCAGUUCGGAUUGAGGGCUGCAACCCGCCCUCAUGAAGUCGGAAUCGCUAGUAAUCGCGGAUCAGCUACGCCGCGGUGAAUACGUUCCUGAGCCU
Molecule: ribosomal RNA, 1323 nt
Filed under: uncultured bacterium
Lineage: Bacteria
Description: 16S ribosomal RNA
Rfam family: Bacterial small subunit ribosomal RNA
Source: RNAcentral